UUAAGCGACUAAGCGUACACGGUGGAUGCCCUGGCAGUCAGAGGCGAUGAAGGACGUGCUAAUCUGCGAUAAGCGUCGGUAAGGUGAUAUGAACCGUUAUAACCGGCGAUUUCCGAAUGGGGAAACCCAGUGUGAUUCGUCACACUAUCAUUAACUGAAUCCAUAGGUUAAUGAGGCGAACCGGGGGAACUGAAACAUCUAAGUACCCCGAGGAAAAGAAAUCAACCGAGAUUCCCCCAGUAGCGGCGAGCGAACGGGGAGCAGCCCAGAGCCUGAAUCAGUGUGUGUGUUAGUGGAAGCGUCUGGAAAGGCGCGCGAUACAGGGUGACAGCCCCGUACACAAAAAUGCACAUACUGUGAGCUCGAUGAGUAGGGCGGGACACGUGGUAUCCUGUCUGAAUAUGGGGGGACCAUCCUCCAAGGCUAAAUACUCCUGACUGACCGAUAGUGAACCAGUACCGUGAGGGAAAGGCGAAAAGAACCCCGGCGAGGGGAGUGAAAAAGAACCUGAAACCGUGUACGUACAAGCAGUGGGAGCCUCUUUAUGGGGUGACUGCGUACCUUUUGUAUAAUGGGUCAGCGACUUAUAUUCUGUAGCAAGGUUAACCGAAUAGGGGAGCCGAAGGGAAACCGAGUCUUAACUGGGCGUUAAGUUGCAGGGUAUAGACCCGAAACCCGGUGAUCUAGCCAUGGGCAGGUUGAAGGUUGGGUAACACUAACUGGAGGACCGAACCGACUAAUGUUGAAAAAUUAGCGGAUGACUUGUGGCUGGGGGUGAAAGGCCAAUCAAACCGGGAGAUAGCUGGUUCUCCCCGAAAGCUAUUUAGGUAGCGCCUCGUGAAUUCAUCUCCGGGGGUAGAGCACUGUUUCGGCAAGGGGGUCAUCCCGACUUACCAACCCGAUGCAAACUGCGAAUACCGGAGAAUGUUAUCACGGGAGACACACGGCGGGUGCUAACGUCCGUCGUGAAGAGGGAAACAACCCAGACCGCCAGCUAAGGUCCCAAAGUCAUGGUUAAGUGGGAAACGAUGUGGGAAGGCCCAGACAGCCAGGAUGUUGGCUUAGAAGCAGCCAUCAUUUAAAGAAAGCGUAAUAGCUCACUGGUCGAGUCGGCCUGCGCGGAAGAUGUAACGGGGCUAAACCAUGCACCGAAGCUGCGGCAGCGACACUAUGUGUUGUUGGGUAGGGGAGCGUUCUGUAAGCCUGUGAAGGUGUGCUGUGAGGUAUGCUGGAGGUAUCAGAAGUGCGAAUGCUGACAUAAGUAACGAUAAAGCGGGUGAAAAGCCCGCUCGCCGGAAGACCAAGGGUUCCUGUCCAACGUUAAUCGGGGCAGGGUGAGUCGACCCCUAAGGCGAGGCCGAAAGGCGUAGUCGAUGGGAAACAGGUUAAUAUUCCUGUACUUGGUGUUACUGCGAAGGGGGGACGGAGAAGGCUAUGUUGGCCGGGCGACGGUUGUCCCGGUUUAAGCGUGUAGGCUGGUUUUCCAGGCAAAUCCGGAAAAUCAAGGCUGAGGCGUGAUGACGAGGCACUACGGUGCUGAAGCAACAAAUGCCCUGCUUCCAGGAAAAGCCUCUAAGCAUCAGGUAACAUCAAAUCGUACCCCAAACCGACACAGGUGGUCAGGUAGAGAAUACCAAGGCGCUUGAGAGAACUCGGGUGAAGGAACUAGGCAAAAUGGUGCCGUAACUUCGGGAGAAGGCACGCUGAUAUGUAGGUGAAGUCCCUUGCGGAUGGAGCUGAAAUCAGUCGAAGAUACCAGCUGGCUGCAACUGUUUAUUAAAAACACAGCACUGUGCAAACACGAAAGUGGACGUAUACGGUGUGACGCCUGCCCGGUGCCGGAAGGUUAAUUGAUGGGGUUAGCGGUAACGCGAAGCUCUUGAUCGAAGCCCCGGUAAACGGCGGCCGUAACUAUAACGGUCCUAAGGUAGCGAAAUUCCUUGUCGGGUAAGUUCCGACCUGCACGAAUGGCGUAAUGAUGGCCAGGCUGUCUCCACCCGAGACUCAGUGAAAUUGAACUCGCUGUGAAGAUGCAGUGUACCCGCGGCAAGACGGAAAGACCCCGUGAACCUUUACUAUAGCUUGACACUGAACAUUGAGCCUUGAUGUGUAGGAUAGGUGGGAGGCUUUGAAGUGUGGACGCCAGUCUGCAUGGAGCCGACCUUGAAAUACCACCCUUUAAUGUUUGAUGUUCUAACGUUGGCCCCUGAUCGGGGUUGCGGACAGUGUCUGGUGGGUAGUUUGACUGGGGCGGUCUCCUCCUAAAGAGUAACGGAGGAGCACGAAGGUUGGCUAAUCCUGGUCGGACAUCAGGAGGUUAGUGCAAUGGCAUAAGCCAGCUUGACUGCGAGCGUGACGGCGCGAGCAGGUGCGAAAGCAGGUCAUAGUGAUCCGGUGGUUCUGAAUGGAAGGGCCAUCGCUCAACGGAUAAAAGGUACUCCGGGGAUAACAGGCUGAUACCGCCCAAGAGUUCAUAUCGACGGCGGUGUUUGGCACCUCGAUGUCGGCUCAUCACAUCCUGGGGCUGAAGUAGGUCCCAAGGGUAUGGCUGUUCGCCAUUUAAAGUGGUACGCGAGCUGGGUUUAGAACGUCGUGAGACAGUUCGGUCCCUAUCUGCCGUGGGCGCUGGAGAACUGAGGGGGGCUGCUCCUAGUACGAGAGGACCGGAGUGGACGCAUCACUGGUGUUCGGGUUGUCAUGCCAAUGGCACUGCCCGGUAGCUAAAUGCGGAAGAGAUAAGUGCUGAAAGCAUCUAAGCACGAAACUUGCCCCGAGAUGAGUUCUCCCUGACUCCUUGAGAGUCCUGAAGGAACGUUGAAGACGACGACGUUGAUAGGCCGGGUGUGUAAGCGCAGCGAUGCGUUGAGCUAACCGGUACUAAUGAACCGUGAGGCUUAACCUU
This 2902-nucleotide ribosomal RNA is filed under the name Escherichia coli. RNAcentral's name for it is "bacterial LSU rRNA". It matches the Rfam family "Bacterial large subunit ribosomal RNA". The record is from RNAcentral. RNAcentral also lists the same sequence under 1 other name. Lineage: Bacteria; Pseudomonadati; Pseudomonadota; Gammaproteobacteria; Enterobacterales; Enterobacteriaceae.